Molecule: ribosomal RNA, 1520 nt
Filed under: metagenome
Description: bacterial SSU rRNA
Rfam family: Bacterial small subunit ribosomal RNA
Source: RNAcentral
AGAGUUUGAUCCUGGCUCAGAACGAACGCUGGCGGCGUGCUUCAUACAUGCAAGUCGUGCGAGAAAGUCCUGGCUUGCCAGGGCGAGUAAAGCGGCGAACGGGUGCGUAACACGUGAGUAAUCUGCCCCUAGGUGGGGGAUAAGCCUUCGAAAGGGGGUCUAAUACCGCAUAACACUCCGGGAUGGCAUCUUCCCGGAAUCAAAGAUGGCCUCUACUUGUAAGCUAUCGCCAAGGGAUGAGCUCGCGCUCUAUUAGCCUGUUGGUAGGGUAACGGCCUACCAAAGCUACGAUAGAUAGCCGGCCUGAGAGGGUGACCGGCCACACUGGGACUGAGAUACGGCCCAGACUCCUACGGGAGGCAGCAGUAGGGAAUAUUGCGCAAUGGACGAAAGUCUGACGCAGCAACGCCGCGUGCGGGAUGAAGCUUCUUGGAGUGUAAACCGCUGUCAGGAGGGACGAAUUGCCAUAAUCAUAAUACGGUUAUGGUUUGACGGUACCUCCAGAGGAAGCUCCGGCUAACUCCGUGCCAGCAGCCGCGGUAAUACGGGGGGAGCAAGCGUUGUUCGGAAUCACUGGGCGUAAAGGGUGCGCAGGCGGGAAAUCAGGUCGGAUGUGAAAACCUUGGGCUCAACCCAGGGCCUGCAUCCGAAACCGGUUUUCUUGAGUAUCGGAGAGGAAAGCGGAACUCCAGGUGUAGCGGUGAAAUGCGUAGAUAUCUGGAGGAACACCGGUGGCGAAGGCGGCUUUCUGGACGAAUACUGACGCUCGUGCACGAAGGCUAGGGGAGCAAACAGGAUUAGAUACCCUGGUAGUCCUAGCGGUAAACGAUGGGUACUAGGUAUCGGGGGUAUCGACCCCCCCGGUGCCGCAGCAAACGCAUUAAGUACCCCGCCUGGGGAGUACGACCGCAAGGUUGAAACUCAAAGGAAUUGACGGGGCCCCGCACAAGCAGUGGAGUAUGUGGUUUAAUUCGAUGCAACGCGAAGAACCUUACCUGGGUUUGACAUAUGCAGGAAAGCCUCAGAGAUGAGGCCCCUCCGCAAGGAGUCUGUUUACAGGUGCUGCAUGGCUGUCGUCAGCUCGUGCCGUGAGGUGUUGGGUUAAGUCCCGCAACGAGCGCAACCCCUGUCCCUAGUUGCCAGCGAUAAAGUCGGGAACUCUAGGGAGACUGCCGGUGACAAGCUGGAGGAAGGUGGGGAUGACGUCAAGUCCUCAUGGCCCUUACAUCCAGGGCUACACACGUACUACAAUGGCCGGUACAGUAGGUCGCAAUACCGCGAGGUGGAGCUAAUCCUCAAAACCGGUCUCAGUUCAGAUUGGAGUCUGCAACUCGACUCCAUGAAGGUGGAAUUGCUAGUAAUCGCGAAUCAGCAAGUCGCGGUGAAUACGUUCCCGGGGCUUGUACACACCGCCCGUCAAGCCAUGGAAGCCGGGGGUACCCGAAGUCGCUUUGUUAACCCGCAAGGGAUACGGGCGCCUAAGGUAAAAUCGGUGACUGGGGCUAAGUCGUAACAAGGUA